This 252-nucleotide ribosomal RNA is filed under the name uncultured Bacteroidales bacterium. Its description in RNAcentral is "partial 16S ribosomal RNA". It matches the Rfam family "Bacterial small subunit ribosomal RNA", at positions 524 to 776 of the family's 1533-position model. Lineage: Bacteria; Pseudomonadati; Bacteroidota; Bacteroidia; Bacteroidales. The record is from RNAcentral.
UACGUAGGUGGCGAGCGUUAUCCGGAUUUAUUGGGUUUAAAGGGUGCGUAGGCGGACUGUUAAGUCAGCGGUCAAAGCCCGGGGCUCAACCCCGGCCCGCCGUUGAAACUGGCAGUCUCGAGUUGGAGAGAAGUAUGCGGAAUGCGCGGUGUAGCGGUGAAAUGCAUAGAUAUCGCGCAGAACCCCGAUUGCGAAGGCAGCCUGCCGGCCCCACACUGACGCUGAGGCACGAAAGCGUGGGUAUCGAACAGG